RNAcentral lists this ribosomal RNA (301 nucleotides) under uncultured bacterium. RNAcentral's name for it is "partial 16S ribosomal RNA". It matches the Rfam family "Bacterial small subunit ribosomal RNA", at positions 509 to 807 of the family's 1533-position model. The record is from RNAcentral.
CAGUAGCCGCGGGAAUACGUAGGGUCCGAGCGUUGUCCGGAAUUAUUGGGCGUAAAGAGCUCGUAGGCGGUCUGUCGCGUCUGCCGUGAAAUCCUCAGGCUCAACCUGAGGCGUGCGGUGGGUACGGGCAGGCUAGAGUGCGGUAGGGGAGAAUGGAACUCCUGGUGUAGCGGUGGAAUGCGCAGAUAUCAGGAAGAACACCGAUGGCGAAGGCAGUUCUCUGGGCCGUAACUGACGCUGAGGAGCGAAAGCGUGGGGAGCGAACAGGAUUAGAUACCCCUGUAGUCCCUGUCUCUUAUAC